This 505-nucleotide ribosomal RNA is filed under the name uncultured bacterium. RNAcentral's name for it is "bacterial SSU rRNA". It matches the Rfam family "Bacterial small subunit ribosomal RNA", at positions 28 to 531 of the family's 1533-position model. The record is from RNAcentral.
GACGAACGCUGGCGGCGUGCUUAAUACAUGCAAGUCGAGCGAGGUUACUGUUUUGGAUCCCUUCGGGGUGAAGAAGCUUUAACCUAGCGGCGGACGGGUGAGUAACGCGUGGGUAACCUACCCCAAAGUCCGGGAUAACAGCGGGAAACCGCUGCUAAUACCGGAUGCCUUUACCUUGGGGCAUCUUGAGGUAAAGAAAGGUAACGCUUUGGGAUGGGCCCGCGUCCCAUUAGCUAGUUGGUGAGGUAACGGCUCACCAAGGCGACGAUGGGUAGCCGGCCUGAGAGGGUGGACGGCCACACUGGGACUGAGACACGGCCCAGACUCCUACGGGAGGCAGCAGUAGGGAAUAUUGCGCAAUGGGGGGAACCCUGACGCAGCGACGCCGCGUGAGCGAAGAAGGCCUUCGGGUCGUAAAGCUCUGUCCUAUGGGAAGAAUAGGACGGUACCAUAGGAGGAAGCCCCGGCUAACUACGUGCCAGCAGCCGCGAUAAUGCUACGUAGA